Molecule: ribosomal RNA, 496 nt
Filed under: uncultured bacterium
Lineage: Bacteria
Description: partial 16S ribosomal RNA
Rfam family: Bacterial small subunit ribosomal RNA
Source: RNAcentral
GAUGAACGCUGGCGGCGUGCCUAAUACAUGCAAGUCGAGCGAACAGAUGAGGAGCUUGCUCCUCUGACGUUAGCGGCGGACGGGUGAGUAACACGUGGAUAACCUACCUAUAAGACUGGGAUAACUUCGGGAAACCGGAGCUAAUACCGGAUAAUAUAUUGAACCGCAUGGUUCAAUAGUGAAAGACGGUUUUGCUGUCACUUAUAGAUGGAUCCGCGCCGCAUUAGCUAGUUGGUAAGGUAACGGCUACCAAGGCAAAGAUGCGUAGCCGACCUGAGAGGGUGAUCGGCCACACUGGAACUGAGACACGGUCCAGACUCCUACGGGAGGCAGCAGUAGGGAAUCUUCCGCAAUGGGCGAAAGCCUGACGGAGCAACGCCGCGUGAGUGAUGAAGGUCUUCGGAUCGUAAAACUCUGUUAUUAGGGAAGAACAAAUGUGUAAGUAACUAUGCACGUCUUGACGGUACCUAAUCAGAAAGCCACGGCUAACUACGUG